ACACGACUACAUUAGAUACCCCUGUAGUCCAUGCCGUAAACGAUACUCGCUAGGUGUCGGCCACGGUGCGACCGUUGUCGGUGCCGUAGGGAAGCCGUGAAGCGAGCCACCUGGGAAGUACGGCCGCAAGGCUGAAACUUAAAGGAAUUGGCGGGGGAGCACCACAACGGGUGGAGCUUGCGGUUUAAUUGGAUUCAACGCCGGAAAUCUUACCGGGACCGACAGCAACAUGAAGGCCAGGCUGAAGACUUUGCCGGAUUAGCUG
Molecule: ribosomal RNA, 265 nt
Filed under: uncultured archaeon
Lineage: Archaea
Description: partial 16S ribosomal RNA
Rfam family: Archaeal small subunit ribosomal RNA
Source: RNAcentral